Long non-coding RNA from Triticum aestivum (bread wheat), 628 nucleotides. RefSeq lists it as uncharacterized. The record is from RefSeq and is a predicted model, not a curated record. The transcript is spliced from 3 exons. Lineage: Eukaryota; Viridiplantae; Streptophyta; Magnoliopsida; Poales; Poaceae.
UCGGUACGAUCUAUGUUCUCCUUCCUCUCAAUCGGCAAAGACCUCCCUCAAGAUUGCUGCAGAUUAAUUCACUUUUUCCUCUCAAUCCACAAAAACCUCCCUCAAGAUUUUUGCAGGUUAAUUCAUGUUGCACCAAAGCAGCCCCUGCCCCCCUGUCGCUGGUUCCUCCUCCUCGAUAUUUCCAUAGCUUCAAGGGCAGAUUUGAUCGUACCCUUUCAUCCUACUCCCAGGCUCAUGAUGCUCGAUCCCAUUAACCCCCGAGUUCCUCGAUCUAAUCUUGCAGUGAAGACUGACGCCUCCUAGCUCCUGGUCAUGGUGUGGUCAGGGUUUGCGCCAUGGCUGAAAUCAGCUGUAGUAGUGGACAUGCUGCUAUGAUCCUCGGCCUCUCGCACUCCUCCCCUCACCCUGUCCUAGGAGGCCAACUUGGAACAGGAAAAUAUCGAUCCAGAUAGGUACAUGCACAUGUGCCCAUGUACGCUGGGCAACCGCCAACCUGAAAUAGGGAAAGAUCGAUCCAGAUUUGAUCUACUUCUAAUUUUAUCUCCACUGAUUUAGAUCGUAACUCAUGUUCCAUGGAUACGAAUUUGGACAACUGGAUCAAUGAUGUGUUGUGCUCUAUGAACAUGUA